UCAUGGACAUGAUUUUCCUCUUUUUUCCCGGAGACAAGCACUGUAACAAAUUGCUGUAGUUUCUACAGCAAAAUUUUACAGGAAAUUCCUGUUUUAACAUUUUACAAGAUUUUAGUGUUGUUCACAAUGCAUUAUGGGUAAAAGAAGGUAUUACAGCUGUUAACAGUAUAUUUUCAUUUAAACUGUAAUUGAAUUUACAGGCAGAAGGUGUUGCCACUGUAUAUCAUAUGUUUUUACAAAAAUUAAUUGUGAAAUGGCAUCAUGGGAUUGCGUGGGUGUAUUUACAUUUGAAAUGGACAUGAACACUGAAGAGUCAUCAUUCAAAAUUGUUGGCAUGAGCGAGGCAGCAAAAAGUGCGAGGGGUCUCAUAACGGCUGGACUGCAAGGUGGAGAGACGAAUCUUCAAACUUAAAGGCACGAGACAGCAGAGAUUGCAACUCUAACCUGAUAGGACUGGUGGUGUGAGACAAAUGAGAAAAGAUUAUUUUUAGGUGAAAUCCUCAAUGCAACUCAGUGGAUGCUGAGUAUGGACGGUCAGGUGGUUGUGAAUCCACACCCCAACCUUGUGGCUGGAUUUGCAGCUUUGUUCGCAUCAUACUACAACUUCAACCUGGUUUACCAGAGGGAGGCAUCCUCCACACUUGAAUUUGUUCAAAGAUGUUUUGUUGGAAUCACAGCUACCACUGGCAUCAAGACAGCAUCAAGAGGCAAAAAAGUGGAAACGCCUCUGAGAAGAGAAACAACACCAUCAACCCUCAUGUGUGUACUCUUUUCAGAAAAUUAUUUGACUUUGAAUGGUUACGCAUGUAAGUUCUUGUUCAUGUAUAAAGACCAAAACAUGUUGUAAAUAGGCCAGUUCUGUGAUUGAACACUUGUGUUUCUAGACAUACAAGUUAUGUCAUGUUCUAACACAGAUUCAACAAGAUCUUAAAUGUAACACAAACCGUGUUUAGAUGUUUUAUAGAUGCCAUUGUUUUGGAAUAUUCAGGAUUGAGUGGAAUAGUUGCUGAAACAACAUCAUUUUUUUUUAAAGUACUUUGCUGUCAGUUUUAA
Misgurnus anguillicaudatus (oriental weatherfish) is the source of this 1053-nucleotide non-coding RNA. NCBI's taxonomy places the organism in Eukaryota, Metazoa, Chordata, Actinopteri, Cypriniformes, Cobitidae. The record is from RefSeq and is a predicted model, not a curated record.